This 1446-nucleotide ribosomal RNA is filed under the name uncultured marine cyanobacterium. Its description in RNAcentral is "bacterial SSU rRNA". It matches the Rfam family "Bacterial small subunit ribosomal RNA". Lineage: Bacteria; Bacillati; Cyanobacteriota. The record is from RNAcentral.
GAGUUUGAUCAUGGCUCAGGAUGAACGCUGGCGGCGUGCUUAACACAUGCAAGUCGAACGAACCUUCGGGUUAGUGGCGGACGGGUGAGUAACGCGUGAGAAUCUGCCCUCAGGAGGGGGAUAACAGCUGGAAACGGCUGCUAAUACCCCAUAUGCCGCGAGGUGAAAUGAAUUUCGCCUGAGGAUGAGCUCGCGUCUGAUUAGCUAGUUGGUGUAGGUAAUGGCUCACCAAGGCAUCGAUCAGUAGCUGGUCUGAGAGGAUGAUCAGCCACACUGGGACUGAGACGCGGCCCAGACUCCUACGGGAGGCAGCAGUGGGGAAUUUUCCGCAAUGGGCGAAAGCCUGACGGAGCAACGCCGCGUGAGGGAUGAAGGCCUCUGGGCUGUAAACCUCUUUUAUCAAGGAAGAAGAUCUGACGGUACUUGAUGAAUAAGCCACGGCUAAUUCCGUGCCAGCAGCCGCGGUAAUACGGGAGUGGCAAGCGUUAUCCGGAAUUAUUGGGCGUAAAGCGUCCGCAGGCGGCCCUUCAAGUCUGCUGUUAAAAAGUGGAGCUUAACUCCAUCAUGGCAGUGGAAACUGAGGGGCUUGAGUGUGGUAGGGGCAGAGGGAAUUCCCGGUGUAGCGGUGAAAUGCGUAGAUACCGGGAAGAACACCAGCGGCGAAGGCGCUCUGCUGGGCCAUCACUGACGCUCAUGGACGAAAGCCAGGGGAGCGAAAGGGAUUAGAUACCCCUGUAGUCCUGGCCGUAAACGAUGAACACUAGGUGUCGGGGGAAUCGACCCCCUCGGUGUCGUAGCCAACGCGUUAAGUGUUCCGCCUGGGGAGUACGCACGCAAGUGUGAAACUCAAAGGAAUUGACGGGGGCCCGCACAAGCGGUGGAGUAUGUGGUUUAAUUCGAUGCAACGCGAAGAACCUUACCAGGGUUUGACAUCCUGCGAAUCUCUUGGAAACGAGAGAGUGCCUUCGGGAGCGCAGUGACAGGUGGUGCAUGGCUGUCGUCAGCUCGUGUCGUGAGAUGUUGGGUUAAGUCCCGCAACGAGCGCAACCCACGUCUUUAGUUGCCAGCAUUUAGUUGGGCACUCUAGAGAGACCGCCGGUGAUAAACCGGAGGAAGGUGUGGAUGAUGUCAAGUCAUCAUGCCCCUUACAUCCUGGGCUACACACGUACUACAAUGCUACGGACAAAGGGCAGCAAGUUCGCGAGGACAAGCAAAUCCCAUAAACCGUGGCUCAGUUCAGAUCGUAGGCUGCAACUCGCCUACGUGAAGGAGGAAUCGCUAGUAAUCGCAGGUCAGCAUACUGCGGUGAAUACGUUCCCGGGCCUUGUACACACCGCCCGUCACACCAUGGAAGUUGGCCACGCCCGAAGCCGUUACUCCAACCCUUGUGGAGGAGGACGUCGAAGGUGGGGCUGAUGACUGGGGUGAAGUCGUAACAAGGUAACC